Molecule: ribosomal RNA, 301 nt
Filed under: uncultured bacterium
Lineage: Bacteria
Description: partial 16S ribosomal RNA
Rfam family: Bacterial small subunit ribosomal RNA
Source: RNAcentral
CAGUAGCCGCGGUAAUACGUAGGUGGCAAGCGUUGUCCGGAAUUAUUGGGCGUAAAGGGCUCGCAGGCGGUUUCUUAAGUCUGAUGUGAAAGCCCCCGGCUCAACCGGGGAGGGUCAUUGGAAACUGGGAAACUUGAGUGCGGAAGAGGAGAGUGGAAUUCCACGUGUAGCGGUGAAAUGCGUAGAGAUGUGGAGGAACACCAGUGGCGAAGGCGACUCUCUGGUCUGUAACUGACGCUGAGGAGCGAAAGCGUGGGGAGCGAACAGGAUUAGAUACCCCGGUAGUCCCUGUCUCUUAUAC